UACGUAGGGUGCGAGCGUUAAUCGGAAUUACUGGGCGUAAAGCGUGCGCAGGCGGUUCGUUAAGUCAGCUGUGAAAGCCCCGGGCUCAACCUGGGAACGGCGGUUGAAACUGGCGAACUAGAAUCUGGCAGAGGGGGGUGGAAUUCCACGUGUAGCAGUGAAAUGCGUAGAGAUGUGGAGGAACACCGAUGGCGAAGGCAGCCCCCUGGGUCAAGAUUGACGCUCAUGCACGAAAGCGUGGGGAGCAAACAGG
This 253-nucleotide ribosomal RNA is filed under the name uncultured bacterium. RNAcentral's name for it is "partial 16S ribosomal RNA". It matches the Rfam family "Bacterial small subunit ribosomal RNA", at positions 524 to 776 of the family's 1533-position model. The record is from RNAcentral.